AUCUUUAUAGCUUAAAAAGAGCAUAACACUGAAGAUGUUAGGGUGAACUACUUUCUAAAGAUA
This 63-nucleotide transfer RNA is filed under the name Streptocephalus cafer. RNAcentral's name for it is "tRNA-Phe". Lineage: Eukaryota; Metazoa; Arthropoda; Branchiopoda; Anostraca; Streptocephalidae. The record is from RNAcentral.